AUGAAGGAGCUAGGUCUUCGAGAGGAGGACCUUGACGAUGUGGUGUUCGAUGAAGAUGAGGCGUUGCCGGCGGCGGCACGCUGGAUCGCGCUGGUCCGGGUGCACACACCCAAAUCAUACAGCGAAUUUUGGUUUUUUAAGAAUAUGAGGGCGGCGUGGGAUCAAGCUCAGGAGGUCCAGUUCAAACCGCUUGAAGACAAUCUGUACACAGCCCAGUUCUCAUGUUUGGGUGAUUGGGAGAGAGUAACACGCAAUGGUCCAUGGAACUUUAUGACGGAUUGGCAAAACCGUCAACAGUUCAACUUGAUACUAUCGAGAUCUGGCUGCAGAUUCAUGAUGUCCCGCCAUUGUAUGCUCAUCUGGUGCCAUCUCUAG
This 375-nucleotide ribosomal RNA is filed under the name Triticum aestivum (bread wheat). Its description in RNAcentral is "partial small subunit ribosomal RNA". Lineage: Eukaryota; Viridiplantae; Streptophyta; Magnoliopsida; Poales; Poaceae. The record is from RNAcentral.